UGGGGAAUAUUGCACAAUGGGCGCAAGCCUGAUGCAGCCAUGCCGCGUGUAUGAAGAAGGCCUUCGGGUUGUAAAGUACUUUCAGUCGGGAGGAAGGUGGUAAGGUUAAUAACCUUAUCAAUUGACGUUACCGACAGAAGAAGCACCGGCUAACUCCGUGCCAGCAGCCGCGGUAAUACGGAGGGUGCAAGCGUUAAUCGGAAUUACUGGGCGUAAAGCGCACGCAGGCGGUUGAUUGAGUCAGAUGUGAAAUCCCCGGGCUUAACCCGGGAAUUGCAUCUGAUACUGGUCAGCUAGAGUCUUGUAGAGGGGGGUAGAAUUCCAUGUGUAGCGGUGAAAUGCGUGGAGAUGUGGAGGAAUACCGGUGGCGAAGGCGGCCCCCUGGACAAAGACUGACGCUCAGGUGCGAAAGCGUGGGGAGCAAACAGG
RNAcentral lists this ribosomal RNA (429 nucleotides) under Chloroflexota bacterium. Its description in RNAcentral is "Chloroflexi bacterium partial 16S ribosomal RNA". It matches the Rfam family "Bacterial small subunit ribosomal RNA", at positions 355 to 776 of the family's 1533-position model. Lineage: Bacteria; Bacillati; Chloroflexota. The record is from RNAcentral.